AAGUGACGGUACCUGCAGAAGAAGCACCGGCUAACUACGUGCCAGCAGCCGCGGUAAUACGUAGGGUGCGAGCGUUAUCCGGAAUUAUUGGGCGUAAAGAGCUCGUAGGCGGUUUGUCGCGUCUGUCGUGAAAGUCCGGGGCUUAACCCCGGAUCUGCGGUGGGUACGGGCAGACUAGAGUGCAGUAGGGGAGACUGGAAUUCCUGGUGUAGCGGUGGAAUGCGCAGAUAUCAGGAGGAACACCGAUGGCGAAGGCAGGUCUCUGGGCUGUAACUGACGCUGAGGAGCGAAAGCAUGGGGAGCGAACAGGAUUAGAUACCCUGGUAGUCCAUGCCGUAAACGUUGGGCACUAGGUGUGGGGACCAUUCCACGGUUUCCGUGCCGCAGCUAACGCAUUAAGUGCCCCGCCUGGGGAGUACGGCCGCAAGGCUAAAACUCAAAGGAAUUGACGGGGGCCCGCACAAGCGGCGGAGCAUGCGGAUUAAUUCGAUGCAACGCGAAGAACCUUACCAAGGCUUGACAUGUUCUCGAUCGCCGUAGAGAUACGGUUUCCCCUUUGGGGCGGGUUCACAGGUGGUGCAUGGUUGUCGUCAGCUCGUGUCGUGAGAUGUUGGGUUAAGUCCCGCAACGAGCGCAACCCUCGUUCCAUGUUGCCAGCACGUCGUGGUGGGGACUCAUGGGAGACUGCCGGGGUCAACUCGGAGGAAGGUGAGGACGACGUCAAAUCAUCAUGCCCCUUAUGUCUUGGGCUUCACGCAUGCUACAAUGGCCGGUACAAUGGGUUGCGAUACUGUGAGGUGGAGCUAAUCCCAAAAAGCCGGUCUCAGUUCGGAUUGGGGUCUGCAACUCGACCCCAUGAAGUCGGAGUCGCUAGUAAUCGCAGAUCAGCAACGCUGCGGUGAAUACGUUCCCGGGCCUUGUACACACCGCCCGUCAAGUCACGAAAGUUGGUAACACCCGAAGCCGGUGGCCUAAC
RNAcentral lists this ribosomal RNA (976 nucleotides) under Micrococcus sp. S3H58. RNAcentral describes it as "bacterial SSU rRNA". It matches the Rfam family "Bacterial small subunit ribosomal RNA", at positions 467 to 1439 of the family's 1533-position model. Lineage: Bacteria; Bacillati; Actinomycetota; Actinomycetes; Micrococcales; Micrococcaceae. The record is from RNAcentral.